GAUGCUAUUUCUAGAGAUAGAAAGUUACUUCGGUACAUCGGUGACAGGUGGUGCAUGGUUGUCGUCAGCUCGUGUCGUGAGAUGUUGGGUUAAGUCCCGCAACGAGCGCAACCCCUAUUGUUAGUUGCCAUCAUUCAGUUGGGCACUCUAGCGAGACUGCCGGUAAUAAACCGGAGGAAGGUGGGGAUGACGUCAAAUCAUCAUGCCCCUUAUGACCUGGGCUACACACGUGCUACAAUGGUUGGUACAACGAGUUGCGAGUCGGUGACGGCGAGCUAAUCUCUUUAAAGCCAAUCUCAGUUCGGAUUGUAGGCUGCAACUCGCCUACAUGAAGUCGGAAUCGCUAGUAAUCGCGGAUCAGCACGCCGCGGUGAAUACGUUCCCGGGCCUU
RNAcentral lists this ribosomal RNA (391 nucleotides) under uncultured Streptococcus sp. Its description in RNAcentral is "bacterial SSU rRNA". It matches the Rfam family "Bacterial small subunit ribosomal RNA", at positions 991 to 1382 of the family's 1533-position model. Lineage: Bacteria; Bacillati; Bacillota; Bacilli; Lactobacillales; Streptococcaceae. The record is from RNAcentral.